RNAcentral lists this ribosomal RNA (338 nucleotides) under Haemaphysalis hystricis. RNAcentral describes it as "partial small subunit ribosomal RNA". The record is from RNAcentral. Lineage: Eukaryota; Metazoa; Arthropoda; Arachnida; Ixodida; Ixodidae.
AUUAUUAAGAAUAAUAUAUUGUUAGUAUAUAAACUUUAUGAAAACAAAAAAUUAUGGCGGUAUUUUAAGCUUUUCAGAGGAAUUUGCUCUUUUAUGGAUAAAACACCUAAAUCUUACUAAAUUUGGUUAAGCAGUUUGUAUACCACUAUUUAAGCAAUAAUUUAUUAUUAUUACUAAAAUUUAUUAAAAAUAAAAAAAGUUAAGUCAAGGUGCAGCAUAAAAUUUAGUAUGAAGUGAAUUACAUCUCUUUAAAGAGAAAUAUUUUGAAAAUGAAAUUUAGGAUUUGAAAGUAAAGUUUUAAUAGAAAGAAAAUUUGAAUUUAGCUCUAAAAUAUGUAC